RNAcentral lists this ribosomal RNA (497 nucleotides) under uncultured bacterium. Its description in RNAcentral is "partial 16S ribosomal RNA". It matches the Rfam family "Bacterial small subunit ribosomal RNA", at positions 28 to 507 of the family's 1533-position model. The record is from RNAcentral.
GAUGAACGCUGGCGGCGUGCCUAAUACAUGCAAGUCGAGCGAACGGACGAGAAGCUUGCUUCUCUGAUGUUAGCGGCGGACGGGUGAGUAACACGUGGAUAACCUACCUAUAAGACUGGGAUAACUUCGGGAAACCGUAUCUAAUACCGUAUAAUAUUUUGAUCCGCAUGGUUCAAUAGUGAAAGACGGUCUUGCUGUCACUUAUAGAUGGAUCCCCGCUGCAUUAGCUAGUUGGUAAGGUAACGGCUUACCAAGGCAACGAUGCAUAGCCGACCUGAGAGGGUGGUCGGCCACCCUGGAACUGAGACACGGUCCAGACUCCUAAGGGAGGCAGCAGUAGGGAAUCUUACGCAAUGGGGGAAAGCCUGACGGAGCAACGCCACGUGAGUGAUGAAGGUCUUCGGAUCGUAAAACUCUGUUAUUAGGGAAGAACAGAUGUGUAAGUAACUGUGCACAUCGUGACGGUAACUAAUAAGAAAGCAACGGCUAACUACGUG